UGGGGUAUAGCUCAGUGGUAGGGCGCGUGCCUAGCGUGCUUGAGACCCUGGGUUUCACCCCCAGCACUGUAA
This 72-nucleotide transfer RNA is filed under the name Ictidomys tridecemlineatus (thirteen-lined ground squirrel). Its description in RNAcentral is "Spermophilus tridecemlineatus (thirteen-lined ground squirrel) tRNA". It matches the Rfam family "tRNA". From Rfam's summary of the family: Transfer RNA (tRNA) molecules are approximately 80 nucleotides in length. Their secondary structure includes four short double-helical elements and three loops (D, anti-codon, and T loops). Further hydrogen bonds mediate the characteristic L-shaped molecular structure. tRNAs have two regions of fundamental functional importance: the anti-codon, which is responsible for specific mRNA codon recognition, and the 3' end, to which the tRNAs corresponding amino acid is attached (by aminoacyl-tRNA synthetases). tRNAs cope with the degeneracy of the genetic code in two manners: having more than one tRNA (with a specific anti-codon) for a particular amino acid; and 'wobble' base-pairing, i.e. permitting non-standard base-pairing at the 3rd anti-codon position. Lineage: Eukaryota; Metazoa; Chordata; Mammalia; Rodentia; Sciuridae. The record is from Rfam by way of RNAcentral.